GAUGAUAAUGGACUAAACUUCUGAACCUGUUCAACAACGACCUGUCCAUUUGAUGUACAGAAUCAGGCAGCUCUGCUCUAUUUUAAACCACUCAGUCUCCCUGCAACCAUGUACUUGUCCUGGGGCCAUAAAUAAAUCGCCUCACUUCUUGGAAAGACCGUAUUUUGGGUGAAUCUGCUCUUCCUUUAGAAAACGCAGUUCUGGACCCUUCAUUGCUGGUAAGAAAAACUGUUAUUAUAGAGACCAUUCCAUGGAAUUUGGAGGGAAUGGCCUUCUCUCACAUUACCCAACCAAAAUAAAGGAAUGGAUGAAUGGUACA
RNAcentral lists this small RNA (319 nucleotides) under Rattus norvegicus (Norway rat). RNAcentral describes it as "uncharacterized LOC108352956". Lineage: Eukaryota; Metazoa; Chordata; Mammalia; Rodentia; Muridae. The record is from RNAcentral.